Molecule: ribosomal RNA, 253 nt
Filed under: uncultured bacterium
Lineage: Bacteria
Description: partial 16S ribosomal RNA
Rfam family: Bacterial small subunit ribosomal RNA
Source: RNAcentral
UACGGAGGGUGCAAGCGUUAUCCGGAUUUACUGGGCUUAAAGGGUGUGUAGGCGGGUUAUUAAGUCAGUGGUGAAAUCUCCGAGCUCAACUUGGAAACUGCCAUUGAUACUAUUAGUCUUGAAUUUUGUUGAGGUAGGCGGAAUAAGUCAUGUAGCGGUGAAAUGCAUAGAUAUGACUUAGAACACCCAUUGCGAAGGCAGCUUGCUAAACAAAUAUUGACGCUGAGGCACGAAAGCGUGGGGAUCAAACAGG